AUCUUCAGGGCGAGGUGCAAUUCCUCACCGGCGGUAUAGCCCGCGAGCCAUUUUUGGUUGAUUCGGUGAAAUUCCGAAGCCGACGGUCACAGUCCGGAUGAAAGAAGAA
Molecule: non-coding RNA, 109 nt
Filed under: bovine gut metagenome
Description: FMN riboswitch (RFN element)
Rfam family: FMN riboswitch aptamer (RFN element)
About the family: The RFN element is a highly conserved domain that is found frequently in the 5'-untranslated regions of prokaryotic mRNAs that encode for flavin mononucleotide (FMN) biosynthesis and transport proteins. This element is a metabolite-dependent riboswitch that directly binds FMN in the absence of proteins.
Source: RNAcentral